GGCUGCGCGCCUGCGCCUCCGCUGCUGCCUCCAGCGGGAGGCCGCGCCGGGCUCCGCCGCUCGGGGGGCGCCGAGGCUGUGGCAGCAUGCUGCUGUGCAACAUGUUAGUACGAGCUGCACAAUAAGCAGAAGUAAAACCUCCACAUCCUGCAGGUCAUUUCAAUUGGAUUUUGUAUGAAGAGUCAUCUGCAAGGUGGGUGCUGCCACUAAGAGUCUCUGGGCUGCCAUGCUCUCUGCCUUCCCUUUAGACUGUUUUCUCUGGCUCAAAGGUAUCUGUCAGUAAGAGCAUCCAGGGACUUACCCUGACUUGUACCGCUGAAGUAACCAGAAAGGCAAGUAGAAUAUGCAGUUUGUUUAGGAAAAAAAAGGGGGGGGGUAUGGCUAUGCACUUUUGUAUGCUGGAGAGGAUGGCGGAACUGCCUUUGCUCCUUUCAGAAAGCUGACUUGAAAAACUCAGAAGAAAUACUGGAAAGAAAUCUGCUCCUUGUUCCUGUUGGAAUAUCGCUCGCUAGAUUAAUGACCACCAUUGGAGACUAUUAUAAGGCCUCUUCUUUAAAUGUUUACUUCUCAAAACCACAGGAAUAGAUUUUAAAAUCUGUUAAGAUUUUAUUUUGAACUUCAUCUGAUAUCACCUGUUAGCAGAGCAGGAGUGUGUGAUUGUGGAGGUCUCUCUCAUCCUUUAAUUGCACGACAGGACAGUGUGUGAUAGGUACAGUACCCCUUCGUAUUUCAAAGUGGCUUGGGAAAAGAAAGGUUUAAAAAUCUUGUGUCUGUUCAGAGAAUGUGCUGUAAACAAUUCAAAUGCCAUAAAAUCUCCCCCUUAUAAAAUGAUUCAUGUAACCUGUCUGGACAGUGGUAGCAGCUAGGAAAAAGGACAGAACCAAGAAAAUGUAACUUUUCAGGUCUUCAAGCCUCCUUGAAUGACCAACUUUACUUCCUUAAAGCUUCAAGUAAGAUGUGUUAAUUAUACAUAUAUGAAAAAAAAUAUUUUUUAUCUUCCCUACAAGCUCUUGGCUUGUACAGAAACCUUGAGCAAGUAGCUCUUAGGCAGAGAGCGCUGCUUUUCACGUUGACCACCACCCUCUAGCUGUUUCCCAUCUGUUGUUUGUAAACACCUCAUGUCUUGUGCUGCUGAUGUUGUUAGCUCCUUGCAAAACAAGCUCUAUUUUCUUAUGUUUGCACACUGCUUCAAAGCAGCAGGAAAACUGGCCAGGACUGAAUCCUAUGCAAUGCCAGAAUAUAUUUUCUUUCUUGCUGGGGAUUUCAAUUAGUGAAACAUACAAGAGGUAAACAAUUAUGUUGCAAGCUAUAGGACAACAUAGUACAUAUGUACACAGAGAAUGUGUUCAGGUACCUUGCCUAUGUGGAGAACAACAGGAUGAGUAAAAGAGACCAAACGAGAGAGAUGGGCUGAUCAUGUAAGAGAGGGGACAGGAGGUGUGAGAGCACCUAGGCAGAAAGUGCACAGAUAAAAAUUGCAGGAAGUAUUUUUGGCUCAUUCCUCUGCAGAGCUAGCUGAAGUUCCUCUGGCACUGUUCAGUCCCUUUCUUUUCCUUACCAAAGAAAAGCUUAGGGAGAAAGAUUAAUAUCUGAACCCUAAUAACUGCCACAGAGGAAGAAUCACUCCCUUCACAAUUUUCAGUCUGUGGAACAGAAGGGUUGUUCUGUGCUGCCAUGGCUUCCAAAUGUGGUUCAGUAAGUAUUCCUCCAUUUAAGAAAACAGCCAGUGGACUUGCUUCACUUCAGGAAAAUGACUGUCCUCAACCUUCUGCUCUUUCAAUCAUUGCAUCCUGCUGUGCUUUCUCUACAUAUAAGGUGGGAUGGAAGUCUGUCUGGUACUUGCUCAUCCAUGUGAAAAUCGGAUUCUUCUCCUGAAUCAUAGCCCUUCUCUGCAGUGUCCUUUAAAAGCGUUGGGCUAAAUUUUGGUUCUUACUCAGGCCCUGUUAUACAAAUUCGUGUUGUCUUUUUGAAACUUUUAGUAGACAAAACACGACAAAGAAUAUCUAUAUCCAACAUUGUGUCUUGAUAAUCUGGAGAUAACUAGCUGUAGGACUGUUGUUCAAAAAAAAAAAAAAAGGGGGCUUUUUAACCUUUGUUUGCUUAUAAUGCCUAGUUUAUACUGCUUUAAAGAUUCUCAGUAUUUAAUUAAGAUUUAAAACAGAUACGUGUGAUAUAUUACUUGCUAAACACUUUUUAUCAGGAAAAAUGCUAUUACUUAUAUAUUUUCUAUCUUGUAGGCACAAAGUCAUGAGGAGAUACAAUCAAGAUUUGUUUCAAACACAGUGAUGAUAACAGAAAAUACCUCCCGCAUCCUAAAGUAUGUAAAGUUUCUAAUUUAUUUAUUUUUCUAUUGACAGAAGUCCAAGAUGAUGCAUCUCUCCCUUUACACCAGCAGAAAUGCACAAGAGACUUAUAACUAAGACAUAGCCUGAAGAAAGUUAAUAAGGUUGUUAGUAGUCUGUAUCACUAAUGAAAAGACUAUGGAUGAUUCUAGUUUUUUCCUUCAGGCCUCGAUGAAACCUGCAAAUGUCAGAAAGUUGAUUUUUCUGCAGGACCAGCAGCUAUUAGUAAAAAAGAGGAGAAAAAUGGAGAAAAAAAUAGAGAAAGCCACUGACAAGAACUGCUACUAAUCUAAGAACUGCUACACUGUUGUGACUAAUCCGUUGCAAGCUUACAUUUGCUUGCAUCUUAAUGGAUCUUUUAACCUAAUUUACUGAGUCUAUUUCUUUUUAAUUAACUUUCAUAAAAGUUCAGGUAUUUUUUCAUGAAAUACACGAUCAUCUAAGAAAGCUAAUAUCAUCUACAGUAGCAAUACAGCAAUGUGGAAUUCAGGUUUUUUGAUUAAAAAUAGAUGCAUAAAUCAUAAGAAAUAAACCUGAAGCAUCUCAUACCCUU
Molecule: long non-coding RNA, 2895 nt
Organism: Oxyura jamaicensis (ruddy duck)
Lineage: Eukaryota; Metazoa; Chordata; Aves; Anseriformes; Anatidae
Exons: 2
Source: RefSeq, a predicted model, not a curated record